UUUUGAACAUAAUAAUAAUACAUUAAAUCUAAGUAUUUACUUUAAAAUGGUUUUUAAAUUAAUUUUAUUAAUAACGUGCAUUUCAAUUGGCAAUUGCGUAGAGUUAGAUGAGACAGAUCAACUUCAGAGGCCGUUCAGGCCCACUGCUGCAACACACACUUCCUUCCAUCUUUCUAUAUCCGUUGCAACCUCCCUGUAGUUUCCAACUCCUAGCGUUGUUAGAUCCUUUGAGACUUUAUCAAACCAUCGUUGUUUAAGUCUGCCUAAGGGCCUCUUUCCUCGUGGCUUCCAACAAUUGAUCACCCUGUAUGUUGAUAAAUUAGUUUAAAUUUAAGCACAGAAAACUAUUUAUAAUUAUUAUUUUUUAUUGAAAAUGUACAGCAAAAGCUUGGAAUUGAUUAUGUAAUAAAAUUUUAUAAAAUUAUAGUAUUCAAAAUUACAAAUUUUCGUUAAAAACAACAAAUAGUUUUUACUAUCCUACUAAAAGAGGUUUUUAGGCAACUAUUUCGCAUUUAAGUGUUGACAGUAUAGUUUUUCUCAUAUCAUAAUAAAAACUAAACCAAAAGACAAAAUUAAAAUUAAAAAUAUAGACACGUGCCAGCGAUUUGUCAUGCCGGCAAAAUCUGAGUAAGAUAAUAAAUCAAAUGAUUUAUUACUAUAAAUGUUUUUUUUCUUAUAACAAAAUAAAAUCAUGAACGUGGAAUUAAAAACUAAAAUUGUAUGACAUAUUCUAAAAAGUAUUAAUAUAUAAUUACAAAAUUGAAAAAUGUUGACAAAAUAAGAUUUAGUUACUGUUGUGAAUAGUAAAACAUUAGUGCACUUGAAGAACAGUGAUGUUGUACCUACAAAGACGUCAUCAUUACAACAACGAUAACGUAUCGAAAUAUUUUUCGAUUAUUUACUAUUUACUUAAAAUACAACAGAGCUAAGAGAUUCGUUUUAACUUACAAUUCGUUUUUACUUUAAAAUGAUUUUUAAAAUCAUUAUAUUAUUAACAUGUAUUUCCAUUGGAAAUUGUAUGGACCUGGAUGAGACAGAUCAAGCUAUACGAAAAGCUUUCAAGUUUGCCAUGAAAUUUAAUAAACACGAUAAGAAAGAUCAUGGUCUUCUUAUGGAAGAGUUAUUAAUGUGUGUCGGUAAUCAUAAUGAAGAUAUUGUAGACCGAUUCUUCAAAGAUAAUUAUCUACGAUUAAGAAAACAUACAAUAUAACAGAAGAAAUAUUUAGUGACGUUUUGAAAAAAAUUUGUCACAUAAAACAAUAUAAUCCAAUAGCAUUUGCCGAAAUUAUAGAAGAUUUUUUAGAUAGUCAAAAAUAAAUGAUACAUUGUGUAACGUAAUUUAAUCAUUAGCAUUCAAAUGGUGACAGAAUUUAGAACCGUUUAUAAGUUAAGUUUAUUUGUUUAAUUAUACAAGCGUUAUAUUGUUUUCAUAUAUCAAUAAUAUAUUAAAUGAAAUGUAUUUAGUCUAAAAUUAUUCUAUUUUUGUAACAGAAAACAUAAUAUAUGAAAUAGAUAGGAAAAUAUAAUAAAAUGGAUUCAACAUGUACAACUUUUGAGUUUUUAAAUUAUUUAAAAUACAAGCUCCACAGCAAUUCAAUAUGUUUCUAGUUCAGCCCCUUAGUAACAUUAGAAAAUUGUAUAUUAGUAGAACAGAUUUAUAAAGGCUAAAAUAAAACAUUCAAAUCAGAAAUUAAUUCUUUGGAUAAUAUAAAAAAAGAUAAAUAGU
Molecule: RNA transcript, 1726 nt
Organism: Adelges cooleyi (spruce gall adelgid)
Lineage: Eukaryota; Metazoa; Arthropoda; Insecta; Hemiptera; Adelgidae
Exons: 6
Source: RefSeq, a predicted model, not a curated record